CCUACGGGUGGCAGCAGUGGGGAAUAUUGCACAAUGGGCGCAAGCCUGAUGCAGCCAUGCCGCGUGUGUGAAGAAGGCCUUCGGGUUGUAAAGCACUUUCAGCGGGGAGGAAGGCGGUGAGGUUAAUAACCUCAUCGAUUGACGUUACCCGCAGAAGAAGCACCGGCUAACUCCGUGCCAGCAGCCGCGGUAAUACGGAGGGUGCAAGCGUUAAUCGGAAUUACUGGGCGUAAAGCGCACGCGGGCGGUCUGUCAAGUCGGAUGUGAAAUCCCCGGGCUCAACCUGGGAACUGCAUUCGAAACUGGCAGGCUAGAGUCUUGUAGAGGGGGGUAGAAUUCCAGGUGUAGCGGUGAAAUGCGUAGAGAUCUGGAGGAAUACCGGUGGCGAAGGCGGCCCCCUGGACAAAGACUGACGCUCAGGUGCGAAAGCGUGGGGAGCAAACAGGAUUAGAUACCCCAUAGUC
RNAcentral lists this ribosomal RNA (464 nucleotides) under uncultured Klebsiella sp. Its description in RNAcentral is "bacterial SSU rRNA". It matches the Rfam family "Bacterial small subunit ribosomal RNA", at positions 338 to 795 of the family's 1533-position model. Lineage: Bacteria; Pseudomonadati; Pseudomonadota; Gammaproteobacteria; Enterobacterales; Enterobacteriaceae. The record is from RNAcentral.